RNAcentral lists this ribosomal RNA (2842 nucleotides) under Triticum aestivum (bread wheat). Its description in RNAcentral is "partial small subunit ribosomal RNA". Lineage: Eukaryota; Viridiplantae; Streptophyta; Magnoliopsida; Poales; Poaceae. The record is from RNAcentral.
CACAGCAACAAAACAAAAACGAAAUCACUAGCAUGGUAGAGAACCCAGCUAGAACUCUCCCACUACUGUGGGCUAAAUUGAAUUCUUCUUUGUCUCGAAAAAAUAUCAACUUAUUUCCUGGAAAACAAGCGAAAGCCCAGACGUUCUUUGUCUCAGAAAAAAAUAAAUUCUUUCUUGGAAAAGAAGCGAAAGCUCAGACGGAGAAGCAACAAGGCAAAGGCAGGGAGAGGAACACCGAUCCCCCACUCCACCUCACCCCGGAGAGGAGAGGAGAGAAGAGAAGAGAAGAGGAGAAAAGAAAAGAUCCGAUCCGGCGGAUCGAAGCGCAACCACCGUCUCGACGUCUCGUCUCGCCCUAUCCGUUUCCUCCGUUUCACACUCUCCUCCCUCACCCCUUCCCCCGUUCCCCUUCCUUGGUAUAAGUCCUCCCUUGCUAUUUCCGCCUCACAUCCGACCACAAAUCCGCACCCCCAGGACCAGCAGCAGCAGCCAUGACGCCCUCCGCCGUCGCCAACCUAGCCGGCGCCUCCCCGCUGCCCGCCUUCGCGCCGAGGCCCAGGUCCAGGCCCAACUCGGCCAGCCCGGGCCCGUUCGGGCCCGCGCCGCGCCGGCUCGCCGUCGCCGCCCCGCCGCGGGCCUUCUUCUCCUCCGCGCCCUACCAGCCGCCGGAGCCGGAGGGCUACUCCUCCGUCCGCGAGUACGGCCUCGUGCCCAUGGUCGUCGAGACCACCUCCCGCGGGGAGCGCGCCUACGACAUCUUCUCCCGCCUGCUCAAGGAGCGGAUCGUCUGCAUCCACGGGCCCAUCGCCGACGAGACGGCCUCGCUCGUCGUCGCGCAGCUGCUCUUCCUCGAGCUCAAGCCCAUCAGCCUCUACAUCAACUCCCCCGGGGGCGUCGUCACCGCCGGGCUCGCCAUCUACGACACCAUGCAGUACAUCCGCUGCCCCGUCAACACCAUCUGCAUCGGCCAGGCCGCCUCCAUGGGCUCCCUCCUCCUCGCCGCCGGCGCGCGCGGGGAGAGGCGGGCGCUGCCCAACGCCAGGGUCAUGAUCCACCAGCCCUCCGGCGGGGCCCAGGGCCAGGCCACCGACAUCGCCAUCCAGGCCAAGGAGAUCCUCAAGCUGCGCGACCGCCUCAACAAGAUCUACGCCAAGCACACGGGCCAGAACAUCGACAAGAUCGAGCAGUGCAUGGAGCGUGACCUUUUCAUGGACCCCGAGGAGGCGCGCGAAUGGGGGCUUAUAGACGAGGUCAUCGAGAACCGCCCGGCCUCCCUCAUGCCUGAGGGCCUCAGUGCCGUUGACCCGCCUCACCACGGUGGGGGCGCCGGCGCCAACGGCCGUGGCAGGGACAGGGAUAUGGAGGAGCCCUCCGCUGUAUGAGGGGUGGCCACGAAGGUGAAACCUUUUCCUGAGUCCGGUGGCUAUGUUGUUUGUUGUUAGAUCUAAGUUUUGAUGAUUCCUAAUACAACAGGUCAACUUGGUAUCUUCUCCCUGUUGUUUCAAUUGCCUGAACUGAGCUAUUGCUGAUAUUAUUGCAACUCGUAAAAGGGAUUUCAUUCCUUUGGUACUGAUAAAUUGAUAGUGUGUUGAAUGUCCGUUAUACGAUCAAUUUCAGGUUACAGCAUCAAAAACAUGCUGUUCUUUUUUAUGCAUAGGAUUUUCUUUGCUUUGUGUCAACAGCCAAUUAGUUUUAUGACGAUGUUUUCUUUAUAUGCAGUAUAUGAUGUACUUAGAGAUGCUUCAGUUGUCAUUCUUUUCCUGUCCUUUUAGGCUAACCAGCAUACACCAUCACUAUGGCGUUGUCCAAUGUUCUUACUCACUACUCCCUCCGUCCCACAAUAUAAGAUCGUUUUUCGAGCUUGAAAAACGAUCUUAUAUUGUGGGACGGAGGGAGUAUAAGGUUAAUUUCCAGACACUCAAGCCAAGAGGCAUUAGCAGAAGUGUAGUUUAUGUAGAGUUACUUACUUGCACUGUUAUUAGGAGCUUAGUGUUUAGAGAUGACUGGAUGGUUUAGCAUGUCUUGGAAGUGUCAAUAUUUGGUCAAGCAUUAAGCUAUACAAUUUGGAGGUAGAAUUCUUCUCCCUCUGUAAACAAAUAUAAGACGUUUUAGAGACAAGCUUGUGGUGUUGAGUUGGUUCAGAUACAAGCUAUGUGAUUCAUCCGGCGCUUCAGCCGUAGCAAACAUCCAGAAUGUGUUGUAGACUUGCAGUAUAUACCUAUGAACCAGACCAAGUUCCAUACCUAGAAACAGCGUUCUAAAGAGUGAUGCCUGUGCAGCCACCCAACUGUUAGGCACCCUGUUAUGUUGUGAUUUUGCCUGUAGGCAGAGUGAUGUGUUCUUGCAAAGUACAGCUUUCGUAAUUUGAGUUGCUCUUUUUGCUGAAUUGGAUAUAGUGGAAUAUGCAUUCUGGAUGUUUGCUCGCUUGGAAAGUGAGAUAUAUCUCAGCUCUGUUUGUCAAACCAUGGUAUUCUAUUAUUUAUUUUUAUUGUUCAACACAGGCAGUUUGCAGUAUAUUAACUGUCUACUGGAAUGUGUUGUCGAUAACAUUAUACUACCUAGAACAGCGUUCUGAAGAGUAACGCCUGUGCAGCCACUCAACUGUUAGGCACCAUGUCAUGUUGUGAUUUUGCCUGUUGGUAGUGAUAUACUUGCAAAGUGCAGCUUCCGUUAUUUGAAUUGCUCUUUUUGAUGAAUUUGGAUAUGGUAGAAUAUGCAUUCUGGACGUUUGCUCUCUUGGGAAGUGAGGUGCUACUUCCGUCUCAAAAUGUAAGACGUUUUUGUAGGCCAGACAUUUUGAGACGGAGGUAGUAUUUCUCAGCGCUGUUUGUUGAACCAUGCU